This is a ribosomal RNA of Blastomyces dermatitidis ER-3, 1535 nucleotides long. Lineage: Eukaryota; Fungi; Ascomycota; Eurotiomycetes; Onygenales; Ajellomycetaceae. The record is from RefSeq and is a predicted model, not a curated record.
ACCUGGUUGAUUCUGCCAGUAGUCAUAUGCUUGUCUCAAAGAUUAAGCCAUGCAUGUCUAAGUAUAAGCAAUCUAUACGGUGAAACUGCGAAUGGCUCAUUAAAUCAGUUAUCGUUUAUUUGAUAGUACCUUACUACUUGGAUACCCGUGGUAAUUCUAGAGCUAAUACAUGCUAAAAACCUCGACUUCGGAAGGGGUGUAUUUAUUAGAUAAAAAACCAAUGCCCUUCGGGGCUCCUUGGUGAUUCAUAAUAACUUAUCGAAUCGCAUGGCCUUGCGCCGGCGAUGGUUCAUUCAAAUUUCUGCCCUAUCAACUUUCGAUGGUAGGAUAGUGGCCUACCAUGGUGGCAACGGGUAACGGGGAAUUAGGGUUCGAUUCCGGAGAGGGAGCCUGAGAAACGGCUACCACAUCCAAGGAAGGCAGCAGGCGCGCAAAUUACCCAAUCCCGAUACGGGGAGGUAGUGACAAUAAAUACUGAUACAGGGCUCUUUCGGGUCUUGUAAUUGGAAUGAGUACAAUCUAAAUCCCUUAACGAGGAACAAUUGGAGGGCAAGUCUGGUGCCAGCAGCCGCGGUAAUUCCAGCUCCAAUAGCGUAUAUUAAAGUUGUUGCAGUUAAAAAGCUCGUAGUUGAACCUUGGGUCUGGCUGGCCGGUCCGCCUCACCGCGUGCACUGGUCCGGCCGGACCUUUCCUCCUGGGAAGCCCCAUGGCCUUUACUGGCUGUGGGGGGAACCAGGACUUUUACUGUGAAAAAAUUAGAGUGUUCAAAGCAGGCCUUUGCUCGGAUACAUUAGCAUGGAAUAAUAGAAUAGGACGUGUGGUUCUAUUUUGUUGGUUUCUAGGACCGCCGUAAUGAUUAAUAGGGAUGGUCGGGGGCGUCAGUAUUCGGCUGUCAGAGGUGAAAUUCUUGGAUUUGCUGAAGACUAACUACUGCGAAAGCAUUCGCCAAGGAUGUUUUCAUUAAUCAGUGAACGAAAGUUAGGGGAUCGAAGAUGAUCAGAUACCGUCGGGUAGGUAUUAGGAAAUUCCUGAUAUCAGAAAGAAACCGAAGUGCUGACUAAGCUUUUAGGCUGCAAUGGCAUUUUAACUCUCUUACUGAUAACAGAAGACUCAUUCCACAAAGUCUACAAAUUUCCGAGCUAGUACCUGCGCGACAUCCUACCUGCGAAUUCUUACUUGUAAGAGUUGCUGAAACUAGCUUAGUCAAUCGCGGUAUCAAUACAAGCAUAACUGAAUCAAAGCCAACUUCCCUGUUUUAAUUUUAUAAUGUGAAGUAAGCUACUGUCCUCAAGCACGGUAUAAUACAUUAAAUGUAAUACUAACUAAAUAAACAGAUAACACCUCAGACAAUACAAGAUUGUAAGUAUGAACCCCGUAACCUCCUUGUGUUGGAUAUGCAAAGGUGGCAGCUCUAAAUCCCGGUCACUACUUUUAACUAACCAACAUAGAAACAUGACUCCUACACUAACUUCAAAAAGAGGAUGAAGUAAGUCCUGAAAUAAAGGAAUUGGUGAGAUCUUCAAAAAGAAUUAACC